RNAcentral lists this ribosomal RNA (1362 nucleotides) under Bacillus altitudinis. RNAcentral's name for it is "bacterial SSU rRNA". It matches the Rfam family "Bacterial small subunit ribosomal RNA", at positions 29 to 1375 of the family's 1533-position model. The record is from RNAcentral. Lineage: Bacteria; Bacillati; Bacillota; Bacilli; Caryophanales; Bacillaceae.
ACGAACGCUGGCGGCGUGCCUAAUACAUGCAAGUCGAGCGGACAGAAGGGAGCUUGCUCCCGGAUGUUAGCGGCGGACGGGUGAGUAACACGUGGGUAACCUGCCUGUAAGACUGGGAUAACUCCGGGAAACCGGAGCUAAUACCGGAUAGUUCCUUGAACCGCAUGGUUCAAGGAUGAAAGACGGUUUCGGCUGUCACUUACAGAUGGACCCGCGGCGCAUUAGCUAGUUGGUGAGGUAACGGCUCACCAAGGCGACGAUGCGUAGCCGACCUGAGAGGGUGAUCGGCCACACUGGGACUGAGACACGGCCCAGACUCCUACGGGAGGCAGCAGUAGGGAAUCUUCCGCAAUGGACGAAAGUCUGACGGAGCAACGCCGCGUGAGUGAUGAAGGUUUUCGGAUCGUAAAGCUCUGUUGUUAGGGAAGAACAAGUGCAAGAGUAACUGCUUGCACCUUGACGGUACCUAACCAGAAAGCCACGGCUAACUACGUGCCAGCAGCCGCGGUAAUACGUAGGUGGCAAGCGUUGUCCGGAAUUAUUGGGCGUAAAGGGCUCGCAGGCGGUUUCUUAAGUCUGAUGUGAAAGCCCCCGGCUCAACCGGGGAGGGUCAUUGGAAACUGGGAAACUUGAGUGCAGAAGAGGAGAGUGGAAUUCCACGUGUAGCGGUGAAAUGCGUAGAGAUGUGGAGGAACACCAGUGGCGAAGGCGACUCUCUGGUCUGUAACUGACGCUGAGGAGCGAAAGCGUGGGGAGCGAACAGGAUUAGAUACCCUGGUAGUCCACGCCGUAAACGAUGAGUGCUAAGUGUUAGGGGGUUUCCGCCCCUUAGUGCUGCAGCUAACGCAUUAAGCACUCCGCCUGGGGAGUACGGUCGCAAGACUGAAACUCAAAGGAAUUGACGGGGGCCCGCACAAGCGGUGGAGCAUGUGGUUUAAUUCGAAGCAACGCGAAGAACCUUACCAGGUCUUGACAUCCUCUGACAACCCUAGAGAUAGGGCUUUCCCUUCGGGGACAGAGUGACAGGUGGUGCAUGGUUGUCGUCAGCUCGUGUCGUGAGAUGUUGGGUUAAGUCCCGCAACGAGCGCAACCCUUGAUCUUAGUUGCCAGCAUUCAGUUGGGCACUCUAAGGUGACUGCCGGUGACAAACCGGAGGAAGGUGGGGAUGACGUCAAAUCAUCAUGCCCCUUAUGACCUGGGCUACACACGUGCUACAAUGGACAGAACAAAGGGCUGCGAGACCGCAAGGUUUAGCCAAUCCCACAAAUCUGUUCUCAGUUCGGAUCGCAGUCUGCAACUCGACUGCGUGAAGCUGGAAUCGCUAGUAAUCGCGGAUCAGCAUGCCGCGGUGAAUACGUUCCC